This 677-nucleotide long non-coding RNA is filed under the name Coffea arabica (coffee). RNAcentral describes it as "long non-coding RNA (CARA_LNC008093)". Lineage: Eukaryota; Viridiplantae; Streptophyta; Magnoliopsida; Gentianales; Rubiaceae. The record is from RNAcentral.
CUCUUGGCUUGUAAUAGAUAGGGCAUAGCAAGUAAUUUGGUCCAUUUUCCCUUUCCCUUUUGUUUUAAUUAGCAAAUGUAAUGGUUGCAUGCCUAUGUGUUAUAUGUUAAACGCUUUAUUAGGAUUUUGCAUCUAGUCAAGCAUGCUAAGUGUUAUGUGCUACGUGUUUAUAAGUGAAUCGCAUGUCUACUCGCUUUUUGUAGUAUAGAUGAAUGGAAUGGAUGAAUGUACGUCACCACACUAGUCCAGCGCUAGUUGUGGCUUUUUUAUCGUUUCCACUAGUCCAACGCUGGUCGGAAUUCAUAGAAUGGGCUAGUCCAAUGCUAGACCCAAUAGGUUCUUUUUUUCUUUCCUUUUUCAUUAAGUGCAUGAUCACCACAUAUCAUGCAUUUCCUUAGUUUACCAUUUGGCAUGUUUCUCAAACCCCUUCCCCUUCACUUUAGGACUUGCAUCUCAUGCUAGUUAGGGUUCAUUUGCUUGAAAAUCCCCUUCCGAUAAGGGAAACGAGCGAGUGUGGCUACUCGAUAGCCUUAGCACGCUAGUUUCGCCUUCUAAUCAAAGGGAAAAUCGAAGUCGAAAAGUUAGAAGUCAACCCCCGUACCCGACUUGUUGCAUUCCCCUAGGGUCAUACUUUCAUUUUUAUCACUUCCAUACUCUUUUAAUCACAUUUUUCUUAC